Molecule: ribosomal RNA, 328 nt
Filed under: uncultured archaeon
Lineage: Archaea
Description: bacterial SSU rRNA
Rfam family: Archaeal small subunit ribosomal RNA
Source: RNAcentral
GGUUAAAUCCAUGCCCUCAACGCAUGGGCUGCCGAGAAUACUGCCAGACUAGGGAGUGGGAAAGGUGGGGGGUACUCUCAGGGUAGGGGUAAAAUCCUUUGAUCUUUAGAUGACCCCCUGUGGCGAAGGGGGCCUACCAGAACACGUCCGACGGUGAGGGAUGAAAGCUGGGGGAGCAAACCGGAUUAGAUACCCGGGUAGUCCCAGCUGUAAACGAUGCGGACUCGAUGAUGCGUUGGCUCCGGGCCACUGCAGUGUCGCAGGGAAGCCGUUAAGUCCACUGCCUGGGAAGUACGGUCGCAAGGCUGAAACUUAAAGGAAUUGGCGG